UCGAAAACUCUGCGAGCGUCU
This 21-nucleotide microRNA is filed under the name Picea abies (Norway spruce). RNAcentral's name for it is "pab-miR11407b". Lineage: Eukaryota; Viridiplantae; Streptophyta; Pinopsida; Pinales; Pinaceae. The record is from miRBase by way of RNAcentral.